RNAcentral lists this non-coding RNA (21 nucleotides) under Arabidopsis thaliana (thale cress). The record is from RNAcentral. Lineage: Eukaryota; Viridiplantae; Streptophyta; Magnoliopsida; Brassicales; Brassicaceae.
CGGUUUAGUUGAUGCGGUUCA